Dromaius novaehollandiae (emu) is the source of this 3850-nucleotide long non-coding RNA. RefSeq lists it as uncharacterized. Lineage: Eukaryota; Metazoa; Chordata; Aves; Casuariiformes; Dromaiidae. The record is from RefSeq and is a predicted model, not a curated record. The transcript has 4 exons.
UGCCUGGCUGGAGCCCAGUGCUCCCGGCUCGGAGUCCCCCUCCGACUGCUGGAGUGUCCCUGCCUCCCCCGACCUAUCCGGAGACCAUCAGCAUCCCUGUGCAGACACUGUGCAUGCAGGUGUGAUGCCAGAUCUUCUGGAGCUGUGUCCUGGGAUCAAGUUCCUCAGCAACCCAAUAGCUCAGGUUUUCUUCUGUAUUGGAAAAAGCUCCAUGAAGAUGAUCUCAUGGACAUCUCUGCUUUUCAGCUCUCUCUAAAACAUGAGCAACCCGCUCGGUCUUCAUUCAGCUGAGAAACGCAGCCUCAGCGGAGAAGGGAACUCGGUCUGGAUUUUGGCGAGGACACGAUACGGUCACUCAGUGAGAGCCCCCCUGCAGCUCCGAUCCCCCUGUUGCAGAACCAAGGAUGGAAGCAGAGAUUUUGCAGUGCAAGCCCUGGGACAGCCUGCCCAUCCAGCAGCAAAACAAGAGUUCUCAUGCCACAGAUGCUGUUUGCUAAAAGCCUCGUAGUGAAGCCAAUCCCGAGUCCUGCUUAGAAAGAUAGGACUCAACUGCUUGCUUGAAUUUUUUGGUUCUAUCAUUUCAUAGAAAUGUGUCCAUUGGGCGGAUUGUCCACGUCUUCCAGCCUGUAGCAGAUCCCUGCGAGGCAGAAUGGACCUUUGGCUGGCGAAAGCCUUUAUUUGCUCCAUGCGCAGUGCUCUCACUUCCACUUGGUGCUCCAUAAACGCGGUGCUUCCAGCUUGGCCUGAAAGGCUCCAGUUCUCCACAUUAGGUGGGUUGGGUGAUGCUGAAGUAGACGUAGGUGUUAAGCCACCCUGAGCACCGAGCCCAGUGGCAGUGUCCCACAGCAGCAAUGCGCGUGGUGGUGGUGGCAGCAGAGGGCAUCACGAUGCUACCCAGCUCCAGCAUCUGCACUGCGUCUCAACGAGCAGAUGGAGCAUGGAUUGGCCCCAAACCCGCUUGCUUGGUCUUGAGCAUUUCCAGGGAGGACUCUGUAUGCACUCAGCUGCUCAGCUUCUGCCUGCUUGCCAGUAUAAUCUGCAGAGUGACAAAUCAGGCUUGCAUCACACUGAGCAGGCUUUCCUCUUGGUUUAAAUAUGUUCAUUUCUGAGAAAACCUGGGUGAAGUCUGCUUUUUGCAUUUUAAAAAAAAAAAGGAAAUUCACUGGAAAAAUGUGCAUAUUGAGAGAUGCAAAAGAUGUUCAAGCAAUGCACAUAUCAUGGUUUCAGGCAGACUGAGCAGUGUGACUGAAUUCAAUCACUGAGAGUAUCAGUUUUGCUUUUUAAUUGAUUUUAAAUUGUAUAUUUAUAUUAAACAAUUUGGAGUAAAAAAAAAAAAUCUUUCCUAGAUAGCUUCCUUAUAGAUAUCUUCCUUUGUUUUCUCUCCUGAAUCAGCAGGUUGCUAUGUUCUGCUGAAAAUCAGAGUAGUUGUGUGACAACAACUAGACAUUUUUAGCAUGAUAAACCAAUGCUUUCUCAUAAUGCUGCAAAAAUAUAAAUAAAUAGAUUUGGGGACAAUUUGUCCAACAAGGAUCUAGAGCACAGAGGGGAUUCUGGGGUCAUCUUCAAAGUGUAUGCUGAUGUUUUAAAAAUGACCUAUGAACGUCUCUCUAGUUUGUUAAGGGUCUGGAGGGAUUUUCAAUAUGAUAGACUUGGGUUAUUAAAUUACUGCUGGAAAUGUGGAGUUGACCUCCAGUGGCAAAUAUUUCUAUGAAAAACAUUGGCAAACUUUUUGUUUGAUGAACUUUCCUCUAUUGUGUUUCUUUUCUAAAAUCAAAACAAACAAUAGAAAGAUUUUGGAUGAGGGAGGAAAACAAAAUAAGUGUAUUCUGUUGCCUUUUCUGAUAAGAAAUGCAAAACUGCUUAACUACUAACAAACGUUGGAUACACCUGCUUUUAGCAGAUACACUAAGUCAAAGAUGUCUCAAACUUACGUGUGAAAUGAGACAAAGUCACCACCUACUUUCUGCUGAUUUUGAUUAGAGCUGGUCAGAAAUGUUCCACGAUAGCAAAGUUUCAUUGUGCAACGUUGAUUAAUGGAAACGUGCCACUUUCAGUAACGCCAUUAUGAACGGAGGAGAUUCCUCACGACCGACUUUCUGCUCAAGAAGACAAAGUGAGUGGCAAGCGGGGAGAUGGAGAGGCAGGCGUCCAGAAGUUGCAACACUUCUCUGAAAUAUAGGAGGCCUCGUUCUGCUUGGUUUGGAGAUCUGAACCAGGAUUUCCAUGUCCCAGCUGAGCGUCCUGACUACUAGAUUAUGCUGACAGGCUCUCUAAUCCGGUGAAUACUUCACUGUUUAUACGAAUUAAGGACUUCCAGCAAGAGGGAGCAAAAAAGACUGUAAUGAGCAGAAAAAGGACUUGAACUUGAGCCUCUUGCAUUUAGAUGAGUGCUUGCAAAUGUAUUUUUAAAAUGUAAAAGACACUUCUGAUUUUGACCAUUCAUUAGCCCAGCCCAUAGAGAGUAGACAAUGGAUUUCCCAGAGCUUGCAGGCUGUUUAGGGAGGAUUUUAAUUUAGCCUGACAGUGAUGGCCUCAGAUUUUAAGGCAUUUUCCUUUGUGUUCUCUAGAAGACCUCUUAUAUUUCCAGAAUCAGGGCAAUAGAAGAAAAUCUUUACAGACUUUGUUGCCCUAGGGCACGUGACACGUACUUUAUAUCAAUAUCCUGUGACCAGCUCCUCAUCUGAUCUGCUGGCCAUCUCCAGUUGUUCUUAAACUUGGCCCAACCCUCUUGGUGGAUAUUGAUCCUGUAACCAGCUCUGGAUCUCUUGGGUAUGCUUCCAAGUGAAAUCCUGUAUCUGGCACCUUUCCUGGGCAGUUGGCCCCAAAGUACAGCCCUUUAAACCCAAAACUUCAUGUUGGAGUAGUUAUAGACCUCCAGCUGUUUUGUGACAGCUCAUUAACCCAAUAAGAAAAAAUGUGAUAGAAAAACAAGAAACGCUGGCUUAGCAGAGAUAAGUUUUAAGCACAGGAAAUGUUAUUUUUAAACAGCUUGAGAGGGUUAAAUCAACAAAAUCCUAAGCUCCUCCCCAUGGAUCCCAUUCACAUCUUCUUGGAAGCACAAGGUCUGGACGACGUCCCCAGGCCGGGUAGCACAUCCUGUUUCCUCGGCUGUGACUUCUUGGACAUGCCAGUGGAGCGGCUGUUAGCAGCUUGGCCCUCUUUCACACUUUGUUUCUGGUGUUAUGACUCAGUCCACAAUGAAACCCAAACUUUUAACUGCUCUGGUGUAUGUAGGAAUAGUCUGUCCACUAGGUAUCAAGCCCUGCAAAAAAAAAAAGACUUGUUAGAUAUUUCACUUUAGCAUGGUGAAAGAAAACUGGAAGGUCAGACCAUGAAAUACAGAUUACUAUUACUAUUGCAAGGUAAAAUAAAACUUCAGGAAAAAGAUACCAAGGUCUAAAAAGCAAAGCCAAGAUCAUUGUCAUCUGCACUAUAUCUCCUAGUGCUGGGAAUUACUAGUGAAUUGAGUUAAUUCUAAAGGUAAAAUAACUAAAAGUGGCACAGGUCAGGUCCCUGAGUCUUGAUGCUCCUGAUGUUUGGGAAGCAGAAUUGCAUCCAUGUCAUGCACCCAAAGCCCAUUUCUUUGCAGUGAGACAAUCAACACUUUUGUGGACAUAAACAAAAAGCUAAAGCAAAGUACUACUGUUUCACAGAUGCAAGCAGAAUAUAUUGACACGUACAGGGCACCGUGUUUUGCAGUCAUUUAAUCGCUUUCUGCUCACCACAGGAAAACAUGCAAUUUGCUCGUUGUUCUGUGAUGUGCUCCAUAGCACGAGGAGGAAUGAUCACUGAUAAAAUGGUAAUAACCAGGGGGAGUGCAGCUCCGCUUUCUCGCUUCAGCAUGCCAAGA